UUGAGAGGUUUUUUUUACUAGCUCAUUUGUGAGGGUAUUGUUUCCUUAUUUAUUUUUUCUUUUAUGGAAAAAGUUCCAAUAGUCUGUUGGACUUGAACCAAAAUUAUGAUCAACUAGAGAUGAUUCAAUUAAAAACAGGUCAAGUUUCAAACUGGUAGGAAAUAUAUGCUUGGUAUUUGAAGCAAAGAACCUUCUGCUUUGAGCUUUUACUCUAACUGUUGUCUUAGAUAACCUUAGCACUAUCAUCUGUUGCAAAAUCGUCAAGAGGACCAAUUGUGUCCUGGCUUCCUACUGUUGCUGCAUCAACGAGUGCAGCAACUGACGCACGCCUCCACCUCCCUGCGUCGCAUCCUCAGAGUCCAGAAUCAGCAAUUGACGCCCGCCUCCGCCUCCAUGCGUCCUCGCAGCAGCGGUGUCCUCCUUCCGAUCUCAACCUUCAGCUGAUGCUCUUUGAGCCACUGACUUGUGCCUCUAAUGGAUCUGCUAUGCCCCAAUUUCCGGAUGACUGCCUGUUUCAAAAUUGUAUAUGGGACGGACCACCACCGUUGUUUCAAAGAGUGACAUUUUUCUAAUUUUCUACGUGCCUCUAUAUUUAUAGUCAUUUUUUCUAAAUAUAAUCUCUAGAUUUGUACACUAUCUGUCACGUAUUUGUGAUUCAAAUCUGAAGGUUACAAGAAAAAUUCAAACAUAGUUAACACACUUAUAUAUCUAAGAAUAAUCUGUUGACAUUCACUUAAAUGGAUGCAAAUUUGUUGAAAUUCAAAUUUUAACGUUAUGAAAAGGAUUAAAAAUAAUUAUCACAUUAGUGUGUAUAAAUAUGCAUAGACAUACAAAUUCAAUUCACUUUCAAUCCACAUUUGCAUCUUUCUCUUUGUUUGUUGUUGUACUGCCAUGAAUAACAGUGAAUCUGCUGUGUUUGUCCAGAGAUACAUUUGUCCCCAAUUUGAAUAUGGCCUCCGUAGAUUAAGGAGCAAUAUAAUGAGGUUAAAGAGGGAUACAUUUGUCCCCAAUUCAAAUAUGGCCUUCAUAAAUUAAGGAGCAAUAUAGUGAGGUUAAAGAGACGUAUGAAGAUGGUUGCCAAGAAACCGGAUUCAGAAAUAGCUCAUGUGGUUGAGAUGCUUCGAUGCCUUGGAUCCAAUGUCACCACAACAAAUAUCAUCUGAAGAAGAAGAAGAACCAUUGGUGUUCAAAAAGAAAACAAAGGCAGCAUCGACAAAGCUGAGGCAAUGUGCAUCAUUUGAUCAGGAAGAAAUCAACGACACAUAUGUCAUUACUUCCUCUGAUGAAGAACAAAUUUUGAUUCAAACCUUAAGGACAAACACAUCUAAGAGAACCAAAGUUAGCAAUACAAACACCACGAGGAAGCCAAAAAGAAUAACAAGACAAAAAAAUAAAAAGAGCAAUUUCAUGCAUAGCUUAUAUUUUAUUUCCUACAAUUUAUAUCAUGUAUUUGACUAUUUUAUUUCUAAAUCAAAAGUAUA
Long non-coding RNA from Lotus japonicus, 1481 nucleotides. RefSeq lists it as uncharacterized. Lineage: Eukaryota; Viridiplantae; Streptophyta; Magnoliopsida; Fabales; Fabaceae. The record is from RefSeq and is a predicted model, not a curated record. The transcript has 3 exons.